GGCCUGUGAAUGAAAGCUAAGGGAAUUAAGACCAAAGGCCCAGCCCAGAAUGAACAAAGUCUCCAACCCGGCCCAUGGGAAUGGUCCUCUGGACGCAAUCUGCAGGAGGGAGUAUGCUGCAGGGGAUGUGACUUGUCGAUCUGAAGGCCCCUCGAGUAGUGUCCAGCUCUCGAGUGCUUGUCCGCAUCGUGGGCGUAAUGUGCAAGGAACCCUCGAUCUUCUGA
Long non-coding RNA from Juglans microcarpa x Juglans regia, 224 nucleotides. RefSeq lists it as uncharacterized. Lineage: Eukaryota; Viridiplantae; Streptophyta; Magnoliopsida; Fagales; Juglandaceae. The transcript is spliced from 3 exons. The record is from RefSeq and is a predicted model, not a curated record.